RNAcentral lists this ribosomal RNA (254 nucleotides) under uncultured bacterium. Its description in RNAcentral is "partial 16S ribosomal RNA". It matches the Rfam family "Bacterial small subunit ribosomal RNA", at positions 524 to 776 of the family's 1533-position model. The record is from RNAcentral.
UACGUAGGGGGCAAGCGUUGUCCGGAUUUAUUGGGCGUAAAGAGCUCGUAGGUGGUUCGGUAAGUCGGAUGUGAAAUCUCCAGGCUCAACCUGGAGGGGUCAUUCGAUACUGCCGUGACUAGAGGUCGGUAGGGGAGUGUGGAAUUCCUGGUGGAGCGGUGAAAUGCGCAGAUAUCAGGAGGAACACCAAUAGCGAAGGCAGCUCGCUGGGACGGUACUGACGCUAAGGCGCGAAAGCGUGGGGAGCGAACAGG